UUUCCUCCAGGACCUUCUGCUGGGGAGUGCCCGGGCAUGGCCUGAGGACAGAGAAGAAAGCCCCUGUCCCUCCCCAGGAAGAACCCACUUUCUUCUGGGGCCAGUGCCAAAAAC
Small nucleolar RNA from Echinops telfairi (small Madagascar hedgehog), 114 nucleotides. RefSeq annotates it as small nucleolar RNA SNORA49. The transcript has a single exon. NCBI's taxonomy places the organism in Eukaryota, Metazoa, Chordata, Mammalia, Afrosoricida, Tenrecidae. The record is from RefSeq and is a predicted model, not a curated record.